UUCAGGCGCUUUCUAGUUUAGU
This 22-nucleotide microRNA is filed under the name Oreochromis niloticus (Nile tilapia). Its description in RNAcentral is "oni-miR-10725". Lineage: Eukaryota; Metazoa; Chordata; Actinopteri; Cichliformes; Cichlidae. The record is from miRBase by way of RNAcentral.